GAUGAACGCUGGCGGCGUGCCUAAUACAUGCAAGUCGAGCGAAUGGAUUAAGAGCUUGCUCUUAUGAAGUUAGCGGCGGACGGGUGAGUAACACGUGGGUAACCUGCCCAUAAGACUGGGAUAACUCCGGGAAACCGGGGCUAAUACCGGAUAACAUUUUGAACCGCAUGGUUCAAAAUUGAAAGGCGGCUUCGGCUGUCACUUAUGGAUGGACCCGCGUCGCAUUAGCUAGUUGGUGAGGUAACGGCUCACCAAGGCAACGAUGCGUAGCCGACCUGAGAGGGUGAUCGGCCACCAUGGGACUGAGACACGGCCCAGACUCCUACGGGAGGCAGCAGUAGGGAAUCUUCCGCAAUGGACGAAAGUCUGACGGAGCAACGUGGCGUGAGUGACGAAGGCUUUCGGGUCGUAAAACGCUGUUGUUAGGGAAGAACAAGUGCUAGUUGAAUAAGCUGGCACUUUGACGGUACCUAGCCAGAAAGCCACGGCUAACUACGUGCCAGCCGCCGCCGUAA
This 515-nucleotide ribosomal RNA is filed under the name uncultured bacterium. Its description in RNAcentral is "partial 16S ribosomal RNA". It matches the Rfam family "Bacterial small subunit ribosomal RNA", at positions 28 to 523 of the family's 1533-position model. The record is from RNAcentral.